Molecule: long non-coding RNA, 394 nt
Filed under: Physcomitrium patens
Lineage: Eukaryota; Viridiplantae; Streptophyta; Bryopsida; Funariales; Funariaceae
Description: long non-coding RNA (PPAT_LNC003103)
Source: RNAcentral
UUUUAUCUCCAACUCUAUUUGCUGAUCUUUCAUUGCGCUCCAUAUGCAUAUGUUAUGCUUCAAAGAGUGAUAGUAGGUACAAAUUUGACACCUUAACUUUGAAUACUUAUAUCUCCUUCAAAAAAACUUGAAAUCACCUAAACUCUUCACUCAAAUUAUACCCAAAAUCCUGAACUUGUUGGCCCUAGCCUUCAAAGUUCAAAUGACCUCGAAAUAAAAAUCCUAAUCCCUGAUAAGGCCUCGGGUAGCCUCCUUGAAGCCCACUGGGCAUGGCCUUCGACCAAUAGGAAUGAAGUUUCCCAUUCCUUGCCUUCAUCUAACCAUGCCUUGCUUUCAUCCCUCCCAAUAAGCCUCCUAUUUGUUAAGAAUUUCUACUUUAGGCUCUAAUCUCCUC